This 347-nucleotide ribosomal RNA is filed under the name uncultured bacterium. RNAcentral describes it as "bacterial SSU rRNA". It matches the Rfam family "Bacterial small subunit ribosomal RNA", at positions 527 to 874 of the family's 1533-position model. The record is from RNAcentral.
GAAAGGUGCAAGCGUUGUUCGGAUUUACUGGGCGUAAAGAGGUCGUAGGUGGUUUCUUAAGUCGGGUGUGAAAUCCCAGGGCUCAACCCUGGAACUGCACUCGAUACUGGCAGGCUAGAGUUUGGGAGGGGUAAGCGGAAUUCCGUGUGUAGCAGUGAAAUGCGUAGAUAUACGGAGGAACACCUGAGGCGAAGGCGGCUUACUGGACCAAUACUGACACUGAGGAUCGAAAGCGUGGGUAGCAAACAGGAUUAGAUACCCUGGUAGUCCACGCCCUAAACGAUGUCAACUAGCCGUUGGAAGCCUUGAGCUUUUAGUGGCGCASUAACGCAUUAAGUUGACCGCCU